UACGGAGGGUGCAAGCAUUGAUCGGAAUUACUGGGCGUAAAGGGCGCGUAGGCGGCCGAGCAAGUUAGAUGUGAAAUUCCGGGGCUCAACCCCGGAGCUGCAUUUGAAACUACUUGGCUAGUGGCUAGUAAGGGAAAACAGAAUUCCACGUGUAGCGGUGAAAUGCGUAGAUAUGUGGAAGAAUACCGGUGGUGAAGACGGUUUUCUGUGCUAAGCCAGACGCUGAGGCGCGAAAGCUAGGGGAGCAAACAGG
RNAcentral lists this ribosomal RNA (253 nucleotides) under uncultured bacterium. Its description in RNAcentral is "partial 16S ribosomal RNA". It matches the Rfam family "Bacterial small subunit ribosomal RNA", at positions 524 to 776 of the family's 1533-position model. The record is from RNAcentral.